Molecule: ribosomal RNA, 249 nt
Filed under: uncultured bacterium
Lineage: Bacteria
Description: partial 16S ribosomal RNA
Rfam family: Bacterial small subunit ribosomal RNA
Source: RNAcentral
GCAAGUCGAACGGUAACAGGAGAAGCUUGCUUCUUGCUGACGAGUGGCGCACGGGUGAGUAAUGCAUAGGUAACGUGCCCCUUAGUCUGGGAUAGCCACUGGAAACGGUGAUUAAUACUAGAUACGCCUUCUUCCUUGAUGGAAGUUGGGAAAGUUUUUCGCUAAGGGAUCGGCCUAUGUUGUAUCAGGUAGUUGGUGAGGUAAUGGCUCACCAAGCCUAUGACACAUAGCGGGUCUGAGAGGAUGAUC